RNAcentral lists this ribosomal RNA (254 nucleotides) under uncultured bacterium. RNAcentral's name for it is "partial 16S ribosomal RNA". It matches the Rfam family "Bacterial small subunit ribosomal RNA", at positions 524 to 776 of the family's 1533-position model. The record is from RNAcentral.
CACGUAGGGUGCGAGCGUUGUCCGGAAUUAUUGGGCGUAAAGAGCUCGUAGGCGGUGUGUCGCGUCGGCCGUGAAAACCUGCAGCUUAACUGUGGGCUUGCGGUCGAUACGGGCAUCACUGGAGUUCGGCAGGGGAGACUGGAAUUCCUGGUGUAGCGGUGAAAUGCGCAGAUAUCAGGAGGAACACCCGUGGCUAAGGCGGCUCUCUAGUACGGUACUGACGCUGAGACGCGAAAGCGUGGGGAGCGAACAGG